UGGGGAAUUUUGGACAAUGGGCGAAAGCCUGAUCCAGCAAUGCCGCGUGUGUGAAGAAGGCCUUCGGGUCGUAAAGCACUUUUGUCCGGAAAGAAAUCCUUGGCUCUAAUACAGUCGGGGGAUGACGGUACCGGAAGAAUAAGCACCGGCUAACUACGUGCCAGCAGCCGCGGUAAUACGUAGGGUGCAAGCGUUAAUCGGAAUUACUGGGCGUAAAGCGUGCGCAGGCGGUUUGCUAAGACCGAUGUGAAAUCCCCGGGCUCAACCUGGGAACUGCAUUGGUGACUGGCAGGCUAGAGUAUGGCAGAGGGGGGUAGAAUUCCACGUGUAGCAGUGAAAUGCGUAGAGAUGUGGAGGAAUACCGAUGGCGAAGGCAGCCCCCUGGGCCAAUACUGACGCUCAUGCACGAAAGCGUGGGGAGCAAACAGGAUUAGAUACCCUGGUAGUCCACGCCCUAAACGAUGUCAACUAGUUGUGGGGAUUCAUUUCCUUAGUAACGUAGCUAACGCGUGAAGUUGACCGCCUGGGGAGUACGGUCGCAAGAUUAAAACUCAAAUGAAUUGACGGGGUCAUAGCUGUUUCC
RNAcentral lists this ribosomal RNA (583 nucleotides) under uncultured bacterium. Its description in RNAcentral is "partial 16S ribosomal RNA". It matches the Rfam family "Bacterial small subunit ribosomal RNA", at positions 355 to 937 of the family's 1533-position model. The record is from RNAcentral.